This 447-nucleotide ribosomal RNA is filed under the name uncultured bacterium. Its description in RNAcentral is "bacterial SSU rRNA". It matches the Rfam family "Bacterial small subunit ribosomal RNA", at positions 355 to 825 of the family's 1533-position model. The record is from RNAcentral.
UCGAGAAUUUUGGGCAAUGGGCGAAAGCCUGACCCAGCAACGCCGCGUGAAGGAUGAAGUAUUUCGGUAUGUAAACUUCGAAAGAAUAGGAAGAAUAAAUGACGGUACUAUUUAUAAGGUCCGGCUAACUACGUGCCAGCAGCCGCGGUAAUACGUAGGGACCAAGCGUUGUUCGGAUUUACUGGGCGUAAAGGGCGCGUAGGCGGCUCUGUAAGUCACUUGUGAAAUCUCUGAGCUUAACUCAGAACGGCCAAGUGAUACUGCAGAGCUAGAGUGUAGAAGGGGCAAUCGGAAUUCUUGGUGUAGCGGUGAAAUGCGUAGAUAUCAAGAGGAACACCUGAGGUGAAGACGGGUUGCUGGUCUAACACUGACGCUGAGGCGCGAAAGCCAGGGGAGCAAACGGGAUUAGAUACCCCCGUAGUCCCUGAGCGGGCUGGCAAGGCGCAU